AUUGAACGCUGGCGGCAGGCUUAACACAUGCAAGUCGAACGAGUGGCGGACGGGUGAGUAAUGUAUGGGGACUGCCCGAUAGAGGGGGAUAAAUACUGGAAACGGUGGCUAAUACCGCAUACUAUCGGAUAACCCAUAGGGGAUUAGCUAGUAGGUGGGGUAAAGGCUCACCUAGGGGACGAUCUCCAGCUGGUCUGAGAGGAUGAUCAUCCACUCUGGGACUGAGACACGGCCCAGACUCCUACGGAGGCAGCAGUGGGGAAUAUUGCACAAUGGGCGCAAGCCUGAUGCAGCCAUGCCGCGGGUAUGAAGAAGGCCUUAGGGUUGUAAAGUACUUUCAGCGGGGAGGCGUUACCCGCAGAAGAAGCACCGGCUAACUCCGUGCCAGCAGCCGCGGUAAUAC
This 403-nucleotide ribosomal RNA is filed under the name uncultured bacterium. RNAcentral's name for it is "partial 16S ribosomal RNA". It matches the Rfam family "Bacterial small subunit ribosomal RNA", at positions 30 to 526 of the family's 1533-position model. The record is from RNAcentral.